Molecule: transfer RNA, 64 nt
Filed under: Metacrangonyx dhofarensis
Lineage: Eukaryota; Metazoa; Arthropoda; Malacostraca; Amphipoda; Metacrangonyctidae
Description: tRNA-Ile
Source: RNAcentral
GAUAGUAUAAUCUAAUAAAGAUGUCUCAUUGAUGUAGAGAAUAUAGACUGAUGUUUUACUAUUA